GGGAUGACUCUUUCCACAGGAGUAUCCAUUCAAAUGAUACCUCUUCCAGUCAACAGAUUUCAACACAUGGAAAUCUGAGACCAGCAUUUUUAUAUUUAUGACAUGGAAAAGCUCAUUGGAAGUGGUCCCAACAUCUCCUCAAUGUGUGUCCCAUCAAGUUCUGAUGUAUGCAGCAGACCUGAUAAGAGAUGAGAAAUGCCACUCCUGGGAUCUCCAUGGGUUAUUUUUAUGCACAACUGUUCAAUGACAGCCAGUCGCAGAGGCUGGAAAGCAGUUUUAUUGUUCUGGUGGGGCAGCUGCUAUUCCUCAUCCACCAGCAGAGUAGAAAG
Molecule: long non-coding RNA, 329 nt
Filed under: Gallus gallus (chicken)
Lineage: Eukaryota; Metazoa; Chordata; Aves; Galliformes; Phasianidae
Description: lncRNA (ENSGALG00010013731.1)
Source: RNAcentral